This is a non-coding RNA of Phascolarctos cinereus (koala), 1401 nucleotides long. The record is from RefSeq and is a predicted model, not a curated record. Lineage: Eukaryota; Metazoa; Chordata; Mammalia; Diprotodontia; Phascolarctidae.
UAACAACCAAGCACAGUGCCUAUCAUAUGAAUCAGAAGACAAAAGGAAAUUGCAGUUAAAUGGAAGGAUGUACUAUCUGCCAGAAGCUUUGCUAAAUGAUUUAAAAAAUGCCAUUUGAUCCUCACAAUAACCCUGUGAGGUACUUUACAUUCUCUGUGGGGUUAUAAGUCCUGCUCCCAGACCUUUGCACCCAUCAUACAUAAAGCUACUUGGAGAGAAAAACAGUCAACACAACUGUAUAGUACACAGAGGAAAAGAUAUUUGUGGCAAGAGAUCCUCUUUCUGGGGACAUUCCAGUUACUACAGGCUUACUCUCUGAGGAAGCACAUCUAACCUGAGAACACUCAGUAGACAAGACAUUUGGGGCUGAAGACACACUCUCUGAGAAUAUUCUACUUCCUACAGGCUUACUCUUUGUGGAAACACAUCUACUCUCAGGACACUCAGAGGAAAAGAUACUUGUGGCAGGAGAUACUCUCUCUGGGAAAAUUCCAGUUACUACAGGCUUGCUCUCUGUGGAAGCACAUCUAGCCUCAGAACACUCAGUGGAUGAGAUACUUAUAGGUGGAGACACAUGCUCUGAGAACACUCAGAGGAAAAGAUAGUUGUGGCAGGAGACACUUUCUCUGGGAACAUUCCAGUUACUACAGACUUACUCUCUGGGGAAGCACAUCUAGCAUCAGAACACUCAGCAGACAAGACAUUUGGGGCUGAAGACACACUCUCUGAGAACAUUUUACUUACUACAGGCUUACUCUUUGUGGAAACACAUCUACUCUCAGGACACUCAGAGGAAAAGAUACCUGUGGCAGGAGACACGCUCUCUGGGAAAAUUCCAAUUACUACAGGCUUGCUCUCAGUGGAAGCACAUCUAGCCUCAGAACACUCAGCAGACAAGACAUCUAGGACUGAAGAUACACGCUCUGAUAACAUUCUGCUUACUACAGGCUUGCUCCCCAAUGAAAAGACCAGAGUUGAAGAGAAAAUAUGAUGUUCAAAUAUAAGACUCAAAAGAAGCAGCAAAAGUUUUUCCCCAGUACGGGCCCUGGUGCAAAGUGGAGUAAUGUUGUCAUCCAAGGAAUGACUGGAGAGCUCCCCUGAGGGUAAAGGGCCUCACUGGCUCCACAGACUUCUUAAAGAAAAGAUCCACCCCCAGAUACUCUCUGCCUCAGUCUGUCCAGGGUGUGUCCCCCUUUUCAUCUCCAGUACCACAACAAUUACUUUAAGCUGUUCUCCUCAACUAGAAUAUCAUCAUGUUGUCAUCCUAAGUCUUGGAUCACUGCAACCAUCCACUACCUCCACCCCUAUAUUCCUGUUGAGCAAAGCUGGAGAAAUGGAAAAUAUGGAUAUUCAGUGAAACAGAGGACCUACAAGCAUUCCUGAUGAAAAGACCAGAGCUGA